AUGGGUGGGGGUGUACGAUAAUGUAGGGUAAAAAAUGGAUGAAUUGGGUUUUGAGAGAGACAAUAUUAGGUGUCUACAUCAUGCCCCUUUUUGGGUGUAAACACAAAGUGUUUUCAGACAAAAAAGUAGACAAUGAGACCAAAUUUUGACCCGAUCAUUAUUUAAGAAAAGAAACAGAAGGAAGAAGGACAACUGAGUUGGAGAGUCGAGUGAGAUCCCGUCGAGGUUUUGGUUCGCG
This 238-nucleotide long non-coding RNA is filed under the name Capsicum annuum. RNAcentral's name for it is "long non-coding RNA (CANN_LNC006158)". Lineage: Eukaryota; Viridiplantae; Streptophyta; Magnoliopsida; Solanales; Solanaceae. The record is from RNAcentral.